Molecule: unclassified non-coding RNA, 352 nt
Filed under: soil metagenome
Description: partial contains 5.8S ribosomal RNA, internal transcribed spacer 2, and large subunit ribosomal RNA
Rfam family: 5.8S ribosomal RNA (bases 1-120)
Source: RNAcentral
GAUGAAGAACGCAGCGAAAUGCGAUAAGUAAUGUGAAUUGCAGAAUUCAGUGAAUCAUCGAAUCUUUGAACGCACAUUGCGCCCGCCAGUAUUCUGGCGGGCAUGCCUGUUCGAGCGUCAUUACAACCCUCAGGCCCCCGGGCCUGGCGUUGGGGAUCGGCGGAGCCCCCCGUGGGCACACGCCGUCCCCCAAAUGCAGUGGCGGUCCCGCCGCAGCUUCCAUCGCGUAGUAGCUAACACCUCGCGACUGGAGAGCGGCGCGGCCUCGCCGUAAAACACCCAACUCUUCUGAAGUUGACCUCGAAUCAGGUAGGAAUACCCGCUGAACUUAAGCAUAUCAAUAAGCGGAGGA